RNAcentral lists this ribosomal RNA (564 nucleotides) under uncultured bacterium. RNAcentral describes it as "bacterial SSU rRNA". It matches the Rfam family "Bacterial small subunit ribosomal RNA", at positions 358 to 923 of the family's 1533-position model. The record is from RNAcentral.
GGAAUAUUGGUCAAUGGGCGAGAGCCUGAACCAGCCAUGCCGCGUGCAGGAAGACGGCCUUCUGGGUUGUAAACUGCUUUUCUACGGGAAGAAAAAGCUUAUGCGUAAGCAAUUGACGGUACUGUAGGAAUAAGCACCGGCUAACUCCGUGCCAGCAGCCGCGGUAAUACGGAGGGUGCGAGCGUUGUCCGGAUUUAUUGGGUUUAAAGGGUGCGUAGGCGGCUUAUUAAGUCAGUGGUGAAAUCUUUCGGCUUAACCGAGAAACUGCCAUUGAAACUGAUGAGCUUGAGUUUGAGUGAGGUAGGCGGAAUUUAUGGUGUAGCGGUGAAAUGCAUAGAUACCAUAAAGAACACCGAUAGCGUAGGCAGCUUACUGGCUCGCAACUGACGCUGAGGCACGAAAGCAUGGGUAUCGAACAGGAUUAGAUACCCUGGUAGUCCAUGCUGUAAACGAUGAUUACUCGCUGUUGGUCUUUAGGGAUCAGUGGCCAAGCGAAAGCGUUAAGUAAUCCACCUGGGGAGUACGUCCGCAAGGAUGAAACUCAAAGGAAUUGACAAUCACUAG